GCAUGUAGAAGCCCAAAAUUUUAGUAUAAAUAAUGGAGCAAAUGAACAGACAUUCAAGCCAGCCGAUGCUGAUGCACAUACCCUGAAAGCCUGAUGAGAACCUAGACUGACAUCCCAACUCUUCUCAUCAUCUGCCUGAUCCUCUGCAUGGUCCUCACUGCUUUCAAACUCUACAGCAGUCUCUUGACCCUGGUGAAAAAGGCGACUUCUCCUUAGGACCAACCGUCUCCUCAGCCAGCUGUCAACUCCACACCAGGCAAAGCCUCUGUCAGUUCCUGACCCGAUCAUAGUGGUCUGAGUGUCAACUACUUUGAGCCACUGAGCUUCAAGUAAAAAUUAUUGGCAUUCGAGUACAGAGUUGGGCUGACUCAACUCUCCCACCAACUAGAUGUGAUUCUUAAUCCUCCCAGAUUCCAAUCUCCCCACCUGAAGAAAUAAUAGCUAACAGCUGACAGUUAAAUUAUAUCAAGUGCCUUA
Marmota flaviventris (yellow-bellied marmot) is the source of this 477-nucleotide long non-coding RNA. RefSeq lists it as uncharacterized. The record is from RefSeq and is a predicted model, not a curated record. NCBI's taxonomy places the organism in Eukaryota, Metazoa, Chordata, Mammalia, Rodentia, Sciuridae.